GUCGCCUCGAGUCUGCGAGUCAGCGAGUCUGGCGCCCAUUAUCAGUCUACUCCACUCUUGACUCCACCAAACCAAACCGGUCCCCACAUAGAACACCAAACCCCAACUGCAAAGCCCCCUCCAACUCCAUUGAACUGAGUGACUGUGUUUCCUGGUCCUGCUAAAGAUACUUUUCCAUUGGCAACGAAGCAUGUUUCCCUUAAAAGUCAGAGCGAGGGAGAAGUAUAAACAAACGAUCGCUGGCGAGCUCCUUAUCUUCUAUAUGUGUGUAGCCCCCAGCUUCAAAGACCCAGACCUCAGCCGAGUCCAUAUACCAUGUACAUAGCGUAGUAUACUAUACUAUAUACAUAGUAGUAUACCAACUCGGCUUGGAGCCCCUAGUCCCGACUCCAAAUAGGCGCAGCUGUGUGGCUGUGUGCUCGUGUUAGAUAAGUCGGCUGCUUCUGGUGUGUGCGGGUAUUAAUAUGCAAAUUAGUUGGCGACCAGCGGAGCAACAAACACAACAACAAAGAUACAUAAGAAGCAAUGGCAACAAUAGCAACAAUAUGAUGAGUGAUUAAAAGUAAUGUGCAGAGGCAAAGUCGAAUAGCAAAUGCGCCAAACGAGGAUCGCACUCGUGCAGCUGACAUAAAACUAAGGGGUAUAGAAGGGUAUAUAUGUAAGGCACUAUUUAUAAAUACUCAGGUAGAUAAAACAAACAAAACUUAAAUAGAUAUUUUAUUUUAUUUUGAAAAGCAGGAUGUCAGGAACAAAAAAAAAGACUCUGGCAGCAAUAAAAUAUGAAAUAUAAUUGACAUGUAAUGUAUAAUGGUGUGUAACACAGCAAUGGCCCAAGUGCGCCUUUGUUUAUUUGAUCAAAUAAACAAAUAAUUUCUUUAUCACUCAACAACUGAGAUUCCCUUUGAUAUCCUAAACAAUCGCCACUAUUAGUGCGAUUCCAUUCCUACCACUUCAUCUCGCCCCAUUUUUAUUUCAUAGAGACACAUAUCAUGCGACGAUCGAGUGGUCGCCACAUGGGUCUCUCGCUUUGGAUCUGGAUCUGAAUCGGCAUCUGUAUCUGGAUCGGAUUGUAUCGCAGCCCGCAGCCCGCAGGCCCGUCCGCUCGUCUGUCAUCCAUUUGGCAAGCUUCAACAGAUCGUUGCGUUUCGUCAACAACAAAGCGGGGCGAAAACAAUGGACGCCACUCAUCGAGUGGGCUGGGGUCUCUAAAAUAAAGCCACGUUGAGCCAAUAAAACUAUGCUUCUAUGAUACUAAGCCAUAUCUACAGAUUAAAAAUAUUAGAAAACUUAAAAUUAAA
Molecule: long non-coding RNA, 1298 nt
Organism: Drosophila sechellia
Lineage: Eukaryota; Metazoa; Arthropoda; Insecta; Diptera; Drosophilidae
Exons: 2
Source: RefSeq, a predicted model, not a curated record